GACGAACGCUGGCGGCGUGCUUAACACAUGCAAGUCGAACGGAAAGGCCCUGCUUUUGUGGGUUUCUCGAGUGGCGAACGGGUGAGUAACACGUGAGUAACCUGCCCUUGACUUUGUGAUAACUUCAGGAAACUGGGGCUAAUACCUGAUAGGAGCUCCUGCUGCUUGGUGGGGGUUGGAAAGUUUCGGCGGUUGGGGAUGGACUCGCGGCUUAUCAGCUUGUUGGUUGGGUAGUGGCUUACCAAGGCUUUGACGGGUAGCCGGCAUGAGAGGGUGACCGGCCACAUUGGGACUGAGAUACGGCCCAGACUGCAACGGGAGGCAGCAGUGGGGAAUAUUGCACAAUGGGCGGAAGCAUGAUGAAGCAACGCCGCGUGCGGGAUGACGGCCUUCGGGUUGUAAACCGAUUUAGAAUGUGACGAAGAGUGAGUGACGGUAAUGGGUAAAGAAGCACCGGCUAACUACGUG
RNAcentral lists this ribosomal RNA (468 nucleotides) under uncultured bacterium. RNAcentral's name for it is "partial 16S ribosomal RNA". It matches the Rfam family "Bacterial small subunit ribosomal RNA", at positions 28 to 507 of the family's 1533-position model. The record is from RNAcentral.